This 625-nucleotide long non-coding RNA is filed under the name Mustela putorius furo (domestic ferret). RNAcentral describes it as "lncRNA (ENSMPUG00000031805.1)". Lineage: Eukaryota; Metazoa; Chordata; Mammalia; Carnivora; Mustelidae. The record is from RNAcentral.
CAAUUUUAGGGUGUGUAAAAAAGGGAGAAGACGGGAAAAAUACAUAUGGUGGAAUGAUUCAUCACCAAGAGAGGAGAAUGGCAUGGAAUGACAGCAGUCAGCUGCCCUCAAGGAGCAAGGCGGUGUUAAGCUUCUGUCUUAAGUUCUAAACAUUUUUGGCCUCUAAAUUUGUUGUUUUGUGUUUGUCAGUUGGCGGUGGAGGGGUCUUCCAACCCAAAGAAAACCCAGGUUGGGUGUCAACUGACUUCAUGUGUGGGCCAUCACUGAAUUUUGUUCAACCACUGUUGGCUGCCCUGUUUCCCCUGGGGGCUCCCUGGGAUGCUGAGAACUGUUGAUCCACACACACCUGCUCUCUCCAGAAGUUUCCCCAGCUUUGUGAAUGGCACCAUGCUAUCUCUGUUGCUCAAGCCAAAAGCCAGGAGCCGUCCUGACGCACUGCACAUCCAGAUAGCCCCUCUCCGGGUGCCUACAAUGGCCACCGACAUCUCUUGCCUGGACUGCGGCAACAGCUUCUCUUGCUUCCAUUUCCUUCCUGCAAUCCAGGAUGACCUUUUACAAAAAUAAAUCAGUGUCACCUCUCAUCUGCAUUAGCUACUGAUUACUGCACAAACCACCCAAAAAUUCG